UGUGGGGUAGAGCAGUCUGGUAGCUCGCAGUGCUCAUAACUCUGAGGUCAUGGGUUCAAAUCCCAUCCCCGCAA
Molecule: transfer RNA, 74 nt
Filed under: Methanobrevibacter sp.
Lineage: Archaea; Methanobacteriati; Methanobacteriota; Methanobacteria; Methanobacteriales; Methanobacteriaceae
Description: tRNA-Met
Rfam family: tRNA
About the family: Transfer RNA (tRNA) molecules are approximately 80 nucleotides in length. Their secondary structure includes four short double-helical elements and three loops (D, anti-codon, and T loops). Further hydrogen bonds mediate the characteristic L-shaped molecular structure. tRNAs have two regions of fundamental functional importance: the anti-codon, which is responsible for specific mRNA codon recognition, and the 3' end, to which the tRNAs corresponding amino acid is attached (by aminoacyl-tRNA synthetases). tRNAs cope with the degeneracy of the genetic code in two manners: having more than one tRNA (with a specific anti-codon) for a particular amino acid; and 'wobble' base-pairing, i.e. permitting non-standard base-pairing at the 3rd anti-codon position.
Source: RNAcentral